CAGCCGCAAGAUAAGGACUCCAUUGAGGGUCGUCACAGACGAUGACGUUGAUAGGGUGCAGGUGUAAAGACGGUGACGUCAAAGCCGAGCACUACUAAUUGCCCGAAUGCUUUUGCCGU
Molecule: ribosomal RNA, 119 nt
Filed under: Prevotella sp.
Lineage: Bacteria; Pseudomonadati; Bacteroidota; Bacteroidia; Bacteroidales; Prevotellaceae
Description: partial 23S ribosomal RNA
Rfam family: Bacterial large subunit ribosomal RNA
Source: RNAcentral